This 343-nucleotide ribosomal RNA is filed under the name uncultured bacterium. RNAcentral's name for it is "bacterial SSU rRNA". It matches the Rfam family "Bacterial small subunit ribosomal RNA", at positions 455 to 793 of the family's 1533-position model. The record is from RNAcentral.
AAUAGCAUAUUCAUUUGACGUUAGCUGCAGAAGAAGCACCGGCUAACUCCGUGCCAAGCAGCCGCGGUAAUACGGAGGGUGCGAGCGUUAAUCGGAAUUACUGGGCGUAAAAGCGCAUGCAGGUGGUUUGUUAAGUCAGAUGUGAAAAGCCCCGGGGCUCAACCUCGGAAUUGCAUUUGAAACUGGCAAACUAGAGUACUGUAGAGGGGGGUAGAAUUUCAGGUGUAGCGGUGAAAUGCGUAGAGAUCUGAAGGAAUACCGGUGGCGAAGGCGGCCCCCUGGACAGAUACUGACACUCAGAUGCGAAAGCGUGGGGAGCAAACAGGAUUAGAUACCCUGGUAG